Long non-coding RNA from Setaria italica (foxtail millet), 1532 nucleotides. RefSeq lists it as uncharacterized. NCBI's taxonomy places the organism in Eukaryota, Viridiplantae, Streptophyta, Magnoliopsida, Poales, Poaceae. The transcript has 2 exons. The record is from RefSeq and is a predicted model, not a curated record.
ACCUACAAAUCAACCACCUGGGUAACCCCUGGUGAACUGUCGGGCCUAUAAAUUUGACAGCUGGCGCACCAGGUAGGGGUGAUCGUGAGAUCCUCCCCAGCGAAUUUGAUGGCAGUCAUUCAAAGAUCGGAUCCGUGGGCGUGGAUCCUCUCCCGAUGACCGAGCGUCAUCAGCUUCACACAGCGUCGCCUUGGCGCGAGAGUUGCGGUGGCCACCAUGCGCUCUGAAGUUGCACUCGUCUAUGCCAAGCCGACCAUCGCCCAGGACUCCAUCUGUGUUGGCUUGAUGAACACACGAAGGGUCCAGACAGAUUCAUCGUCCAUCCCCGGCCGUUCUGUCGGUGUUGUCUCCACGACUACCUGCAUGGAUGCUGCAUAUGGCCAAGGAAAACCCAUCUACAAGAACAUAUGUCACCCGUGAUGGAGCCUUGCUCGAUUACGAAUCGUCUUGUAGGAUUAAGGCGAUACCCACAUCUGUAACCGUGCAUGGAUCAUGAGGUCGGCAGCAACUACGACACUCCAUCGACUCGGCUUUAAGCUGCACGACUCGGCAGUGACGUCCCAUGCAUCGUUGCUCCUGUAGGCAACACUGCCGACCACUUCGACCACCCGGACUUAACAUUGGCUUCAUCAAUAACUGUUCACCGACGGCUGCUUGCUCAGGCAUGAUGCUAACUCUCCGACUCGGCCACGAAUCAAGCUAAGUCAUAUAUUUAAUUAAAUAUUUUACAACUUCCAUAUAUUUCCGUAUGUCUCGACUCCUCCAUGUCUUCGUGACUUUCACCGACCGCCUCGGCUCCUCUAUGUCUCUGUGACUAUCGCCGACCACCUUGGUCGCACCUCGACUACUUAUACAACUUGGUCUGUCCACUACACGGGCGGUCGGGGGCUACACCCCACGGGUGCUCAGCUCAUAUUGGUGCUUUUCCGCAUAGUUUCAACUGCUUUGCGGCUUGUUCGUCCCUCUUAAUAGUUGCUAAAGUACUCGGGUAGCACACGCCUUAAUCCGUGAAGCCUGACCCUCAUCUGUCACUUCCUGCUAAGCAUGCUUGAGUCCGCUCGGCAACACCCCGAUAGGGUCAGGUGCUUAAAUGUAACGGGCUAACUACUCGGGGAAAUUACCUGGUCUACAAGAGUAGGAUGCGCAAGAGUUUACUUGUACAAUGAAUCAAACUUACGAGUUAUUCAAUCAUUAAAUAUUCUACAUUAUGCUACAUAAUGUUUGCAUCGUCUUUUUACAGCUCAGAAACUACUUAGCGUGCCUCCUACCACUCGGUCGACCUCCCAGGCUCGGGGAUCGGAUGUGGGAGGUGACUCGGCGUGCUUCCGUGACUCGGCCGGCUCCCAGGCUCAGGGGCUAGGCACCACAGAUGACUCGGCGAGCCUUUUGCCGCUCGGCCGACCUCUCUGGAUCAGGGCGCCAACUGUCGCGGCCGUGAACGUGCAUUUGGCCCCCUAAGUGGGUUUUGGUGUUGAUGACAUGCAUGGUUAUUGGACUAAUAAUUUUAUCAAGUGAUUAACAGGUUUUAAUUC